RNAcentral lists this long non-coding RNA (223 nucleotides) under Elaeis guineensis (African oil palm). RNAcentral's name for it is "long non-coding RNA (EGUI_LNC072465)". The record is from RNAcentral. Lineage: Eukaryota; Viridiplantae; Streptophyta; Magnoliopsida; Arecales; Arecaceae.
AUGAUGACCAGAUGAAAAAAAGAGAACCUUUCUCUGACAGCUACAUUGAUAAGAAAGCAAUUGAUAGUUAGAGGAUAGGAAACGCCAUCAAACAGGUAAACCAUUUACAUAAGCCACUGAUAGUGCAGAUCCAGUCAUCGAAUCUCCAUAUUAUAUCACUGGCUAGUUCUGAAGUGGUGGCCUAUGCAGCCCUUCAUCACAUCCUGAUCUGAUUGAACCACGU